CACCAAUCAGGCUCUUGAGGACUGGAGUUGCCUACCCCUGCUCUAAAUGUUUAACACAGCCGUUCACUAAGGUUCAUUUUGAAGAGGUGGAUACAGCACAAAUGUUCUUUUCUUUGUUUUUAAAAGGUCUGGUUCCGUGUUAGAUAACCAAAUCACGAGAAAAGCCAAGUAUCCAGUCUGCCAGGCCAGGAAAGCAGCUAUAAGCAGCUCUACCCUUAGAUUUGGCGGUGACGUAGUGUCCCCAUGACUGACAGAACACUGAGCCAAUUACGGCGCAACGAGAGAACAUUACCCAAUCACGGCGCAACUAGAGGACAUUACCAACCACUACGCUCUGUAUUUCCCAUUGUUUGCAAACUGAUAUGUGACACGUAUUAAUGUCAAAAUAACAUGCAAAACAGGCCACCACUCCCCCCCCCCACCAAAAAAAAAAG
This 434-nucleotide long non-coding RNA is filed under the name Salmo salar (Atlantic salmon). Its description in RNAcentral is "lncRNA (ENSSSAG00000119592.1)". Lineage: Eukaryota; Metazoa; Chordata; Actinopteri; Salmoniformes; Salmonidae. The record is from RNAcentral.